AGCGAACGCUGGCGGCAGGCCUAACACAUGCAAGUCGAACGGGCACCUUCGGGUGUCAGUGGCAGACGGGUGAGUAACACGUGGGAACGUGCCCUUUGGUUCGGAACAACUCCGGGAAACUGGAGCUAAUACCGGAUAAGCCCUUCGGGGAAGGAUUUAUCGCCAAGGAUCGGCCCGCGUCUGAUUAGCUUGUUGGUGAGGUAAUGGCUCACCAAGGCGACGAUCAGUAGCUGGUCUGAGAGGA
This 244-nucleotide ribosomal RNA is filed under the name uncultured bacterium. Its description in RNAcentral is "partial 16S ribosomal RNA". It matches the Rfam family "Bacterial small subunit ribosomal RNA", at positions 29 to 300 of the family's 1533-position model. The record is from RNAcentral.